CGCCCCGCCCCCCGCACCUGGGCCCGCCCCCUCUCCUCCCCUCCCCCCCGGCUGCUCUCGCAGCGCGGUCGCGGUGCCCGUUGCGGGGCAUGGCGGCUCCGGACAGCUGUGUCAAGGUGGCCGUGAGGAUCCGGCCCCAACUGUCCAAAGAGAAAAUAGAAGGAUGUCACAUCUGCACCUCAGUGACACCUGGCGAGCCCCAGGUGCUGCUGGGGAAGGACAAGGCCUUCACCUAUGACUUUGUCUUCGACCUGGACACAUGGCAGGAGCAGAUCUACACAACAUGUGUGGGCAAGCUCAUCGAAGGCUGCUUCGAGGGCUACAAUGCCACCGUGCUGGCGUAUGGCCAGACUGGUGCGGGCAAGACAUACACCAUGGGCACCGGCUUCGACAUGAACAUCGCCGAGGAUGAGCAGGGCAUCAUCCCGCGAGCCAUCGGCCACCUCUUCAGUGGCAUCGAGGAGCGCAAGCGGGCAGCGCAGAGUCAGGGCGUGCCGGUGCCCGAGUUCAAAGUCAGCGCCCAGUUCCUGGAGCUCUACAAUGAAGAGAUUCUGGACCUGUUUGACAGUGCCCGUGACCCUGACGCACGCCACCGCAAAUCCAACAUCAAAAUCCAUGAGGAUGCCAGUGGGAGCAUCUACACCACGGGCGUCACAUCGCGCCUCAUUAGCUCACAGGAUGAGCUGAUCCAGUGCCUAAAACAGGGCGCUCUGUCCCGCACCACUGCCAGCACCCAGAUGAACGUGCAGAGCUCCCGGUCCCAUGCCAUCUUCACCAUUCACCUGUGCCAGAUGAGAGUGUGCACGCGCCCGGAGCUGGUGAAUGGGGAGGUGACCAGCCUCCUGGAUGGAGCCCAGCCCACCACUGAGUACGAGACCCUCACGGCCAAGUUCCACUUCGUAGACCUGGCUGGCUCAGAAAGGCUGAAGCGAACAGGUGCUACCGGCGAGAGAGCAAAGGAAGGCAUCUCCAUCAACUGUGGUCUGCUGGCCUUGGGGAAUGUCAUUAGUGCCCUCGGAGACCAGAGCAAGAAAGUUGUGCAUGUGCCCUACCGCGACUCCAAGCUCACCCGCCUGCUGCAGGAUUCCCUUGGGGGCAACAGCCAAACCAUCAUGAUUGCCUGUGUGAGCCCAUCUGACCGGGACUUCAUGGAGACCCUGAACACUCUCAAGUAUGCCAAUCGGGCUCGCAACAUCAAGAACAAGGUGGUGGUGAACCAGGACAAGACAAGUCAGCAGAUCAGUGCCCUGCGGGCCGAGAUCGCCCGCCUGCAGAUGGAGCUGAUGGAGUACAAGGCAGGCAAGCGAGUCAUCGGGGAGGAUGGCUCGGAGGGCUACAGCGACCUUUUCCGCGAGAACGCCAUGUUGCAGAAGGAGAACAGCGCUUUGCGCAUGCGGGUGAAGGCCAUGCAGGAGGCCAUCGAUGCGAUCAACAGCAGGGUCACCCACCUCAUGAGUCAGGAGGCCAAUCUGAUGCUGGCCAAAGCAGGUGACGGCAAUGAAGCCAUCGGUGCCCUCAUCCAGAACUACAUCCGGGAGAUUGAAGAGCUGAGGACGAAGCUACUGGAGAGCGAGUCCAUGAAUGAGUCUCUGCGUCGCAGCCUCUCACGUGUCUCUGCCCGGCCCCCCUACUCCAUGGGCUCAUCCCCAGCAUCGGGCCUGGCUGGCCUGUGCAGCCCGGCGGCUUCCGUGGACACAGAGGCCUCUGAUGUGCUCCGACGGGCCAAGCAGGACCUGGAGCGCCUGAAAAAGAAAGAGAGGAGGCAGCAGAGGAAAAGCCCAGAGAAGGAGGCAUUUAAGAGGCGGCAGAAACUGCAGCAGGACAAUGAGGAGGAGACAGAUGAGAACGAGGUGGAAGAGGAGGAGGAGGAACAGGAUGAGAGUGGCUGUGAGGAAGAGGAUGGACGUGAGGAUGAAGACGAGGACUCAGGCAGUGAAGAGAGCCUCGUGGACUCAGACUCAGAUGCAGAGGAGAAGGCCGUGAAUUUCCAGGCUGACCUGGCGGAUCUGACCUGCGAGAUAGAGAUCAAGCAGAAGCUGAUUGAUGAGCUGGAGAACAGCCAGCGGCGCCUGCAGACCCUCAAGCACCAGUACGAGGAGAAGCUGAUCCUGCUGCAGAACAAGAUUCGGGACACACAGCUGGAGCGGGACCGAGUCUUGCAGAACCUCAGCACCAUGGAGUGCUACACGGAGGAGAAAGCCAACAAGAUCAAAGCAGACUACGAGAAGCGUCUGAAGGAGAUGAAUCGGGACCUGCAGAAGCUCCAGGCAGCCCAGAAGGAGCACGCUCGCCUGCUCAAGAACCAGUCCCGCUACGAGCGGGAGCUGAGGAAGCUGCAAGCAGAGGUGGCCGAGAUGAAGAAGGCAAAGGUUGCGCUGAUGAAGCAGAUGCGGGAGGAGCAGCAGCGGAGGCGACUGGCAGAGACCAAGAGGAAUCGGGAGAUAGCGCAGCUCAAGAAGGAGCAGCGCCGGCAGGAGUUUCAGAUCCGGGCUCUGGAGUCUCAGAAGCGGCAGCAGGAAAUCGUUCUGCGGAGGAAAACUCAGGAGGUCUCGGCACUGCGCCGUCUUGCCAAGCCCAUGUCAGACCGGGUGGCGGGCAGGACGAGCCAGAAGCCGGCCAUGCUGGACUCAGGUGCAGAGGUCUCGGCCAGCACCACCUCCUCUGAGCCAGAGUCCGGUGCGCGCUCCGUCUCCAGCAUCGUGCGCCAGUGGAACAGGAAAAUCAACAACUUCCUGGGAGAUCCCUCAUCCUCUGUGAAUGGGGCUCGGCCGGCCAGGAAGAAGUUCCCCAAGAAGGGGGUGAGCCAGACCUUCAGCAAAGCCGCCCGCCUCAAGUGGCAGUCGCUGGAGCGGCGCAUCUUUGACAUUGUCAUGCAGAGAAUGACCAUCGUCAACCUGGAGGCUGACAUGGAGCGGCUCAUCAAGAAACGCGAGGAGCUGGCACUGCUGCAGGAAGCAUUGCUGGGCAAGAGGGCAAAACUGCAAGCAGAGAGCCCCAUGGAGCAGAAAGGGCUGCAGGAGCUGAAUGAGGAGAUCGAGGUGCUGGGGGCCAACAUCGAUUACAUCAAUGACAGCAUUUCCGACUGCCAGGCCACCAUCAUGCAGAUCGAGGAGACCAAGGAGGAGCUGGACUCCACGGACACCUCGGUGGUGAUAAGCUCCUGCUCCCUGGCUGAAGCCCGGCUCCUGCUGGACAACUUCCUGAAGGCCUCCAUCGACAAGGGGCUGCAGGUGGCACAGAAGGAGGCCCAGAUCCGUCUGCUGGAGGGACGCCUGCGGCAGUCGGACGUGACCAGCUCCUCGCAGAACCACGCCAUCCUGGACGCCCUGCGGGAGAAGGCUGAGUCGCACCCUGAGCUGCAGGCCUUGAUCCACAAUGUCCAGCAAGAGAAUGGUUACGCCAGUACGGAUGAGGAGGUCUCAGAGUUCAGCCUGGCUUCAGAUGGCAGCAUCUCCCAGUCUUUCACCAUGAAGGGCUCCGCAAGCCAGGAUGACUUCAAGUUCAAGGGAGAGCCCAAGCUGUCAGGGCAGAUGAAGGCAGUGUCGGCUGAGUGUCUAGGACCCACGCUGGACGUCUCCACCAAGAACAUCACUAAGUCCUUGGCAUCCCUCAUGGAGAUCAAAGAGGAUGGGAUUAGCUUCUCCAUCCGAGACCCCUAUUACAAGGAGAAAGUGUCACGCACCAUCAGCUUACCCACGCGAGGAAGCACCUUUCCCAGACAAUCUCGUGGCUCGGACACUUCGCCUCUGACAAGGAGGAAAUCCUAUGACCGUGGGCAGCCUGCCAGGCCUCCAGAUGUUGGCUUCACACCUCCCUCAUCCCCACCCACCCGUCCACGCAACGACCGCAAUGUCUUCUCUCGUCUCACGAGCAACCAGAGCCAGGGGUCUGCCUUGGAUAAGUCUGAUGACAGCGAUUCCUCUGUCUCGGAGGUGCUGAGGGGCAUCAUUAACCCAGUGGCUGGGACCAAGAACGCCCGUACAGCCCCGCUGCAGUGCGUCUCUGUGGCAGAAGGACACACCAAGCCUGUGCUCUGCCUGGAUGCUACCGACGAGCUGCUUUUCACCGGGUCCAAAGACCGGAGCUGCAAAAUGUGGAACCUGGUGACGGGCCAAGAAAUUGCUUCCCUCAAGGGUCACCCAAACAACGUGGUUUCCAUCAAGUACUGCAGCCACACUGGGCUGGUGUUCACCGUGUCCACAUCAUACAUCAAAGUCUGGGACAUCCGGGACUCAGCCCGAUGCAUCCGCACCCUCACAUCUUCUGGCCAGGUGAUCUCUGGGGACGCAUGUGCUGGGACAUCCAACCGCACUGUCACCAGUGUGCAGGGGGAGCACCAGAUCAACCAGAUUGCUCUCAACCCCACUGGCACCACGCUUUAUGCUGCCACCGGUAACUCCGUCCGCAUCUGGGAGCUGAGCAGGUUGCAGCCCAUUGGGAAGCUGAGCGGCCACAUCGGGCCUGUGAUGUGUCUCACGGUAAACCAGACGGCAAGCAACCACGACCUGGUAGUCACGGGCUCCAAAGAUCACUAUGUCAAGGUGUUUGAGAUUGCUGAGGGCAUGGUGGGCAAUAUUGGCCCCACUCACAACUUCGAGCCCCCUCACUAUGACGGCAUCGAGUGCCUGGCCAUCCAGGGAGAUGUCCUCUUCAGCGGCUCCAGGGACAAUGGCAUAAAGAAGUGGGAUCUGGAGCAGCAGGAACUUCUCCAGCAAAUCCCCAAUGCCCACAAAGACUGGGUCUGUGCCCUGGCCUUCAUCCCCGGCCGCCCCAUGGUGCUGAGUGCCUGCCGAGGAGGUAUGAUCAAAGUCUGGAAUGUGGACUCCUUCACCCCAGUUGGGGAGAUAAAAGGGCACGACAGCCCCAUCAACGCCAUCUGCACCAACUCAAAGCACAUCUUCACUGCCUCCAGUGACUGCCGGGUAAAGUUAUGGAAUUACGUGCCUGGGCUCACCCCUUGCCUUCCACGACGAGUCCUUGCCAUAAAGGGCCGUGCUACUAGUCUGCCUUGACCCUCCUGCUCUUUCUGACUCUCUUGCUCAUGCACUCCUCUUCUGUCUUUUCUUUCCUUUUCUCUUUCUCUCCAUCUCUUUCUCCCUCUGUCUUUCUCUCUGUUGCUUGCUUUUGCUCCUCUCUCUUUUUCUUUCUUUCUCUCUGGUCUGAGCUGCUUCUUCACGUGACUUGACAGUGAAGCUCUGGAGUGGGAGGAGGUUACCUGCGGGUUCGAACUAGGAACUGCAAAAGGACUGGAAUACGUGACAGGAGGGUGAAGGUCGGGGUACCUCUCCCUUGCUGUGAAGACCCCAUCAUCUACAGGAGCUCAGCCCAGAGAUAGGGAUUUCUUUGUGCCUGACCCAACGGGGUGGACAAUGUCCCAUCUGGUACUUUAAGCACUGCCAGCUCCUGCGAGAAGGCAUCUCCAUGGGGCACCGUCAGCUCCACCUUCCCUCCUGCUGAGGUUUUCCAGUGAUGUUUCAUCUCCUUUCUCACCCACCCACCCCUACCAGGACUUGUGGGGAGCAGAGAUCCUUGGCUCUUUCUCAGAGACAUCUGGUUUCCUCCUGUGACCAUGGGCUCGUGUGGCCUCUGAUGUGCUGCUUCUGUCCCUGUUGGCUCCAGGGCUGGUUCCUGCAGGAGUCUUUCUCCACUCCACAGCCAUGAUGACAUUUGGUGUCUGCUGGCCAGGACCACAGCAUAGAGGGGCUGCUUCUUCAGAAACAUUCCUCAUGGGACAACUUCUCUGCUGUGGGGGUCCUGCAGAAGGAUUUUCAUGUAGUCUCAUCAUUCUCCAUCCUCUCUCUACCUGUCCCCAGUGACUGGAGAUGUGCACCUCUGAGGUCCUUUGCCAUGUCCCAGCAGUGGAGGCAUGGCAAGCCAGGGAAGAUCACCAUCAGACAGCUUCCCCACAAACCUGCUGCACAUCCCUCUGAUGUUCUCCAAGCCCCAGUUGUAAACUCAGCUGACCCACAGCUCUCAGGCUCUUCCCCAUUUGCCUAUGCUGCUCUGCAGGGGGAAGGGAAAGGCUACUUAGCCUUUUGACACCUUGGUCCUCAGCAGGGGUUUGUUGUGGGUUCCUGCAGCGUGUUAACCUCCUUGAGAUGGAGAAAUGAAGCAAGAAUGGAGGUUACAGGGCAAAGAAACCAAGGCUGGAUUUGUCACCUUCACCCCUGUGGCCCAUCUUGUUUUUCCAUCACUGGGAACUGGAAGCUGUAAAUCCUUCCCCCAGGCUCUAUUCUCAGCCUCCUGCCGGGGAGGGGAGCAGCUCAGAUUUGGCCUGUUGGCCCCCCCGGAUCCAGGAGCUGGAGGGGGCCCAGCUGGAGUGCAGCCCAGAAUGGAGUUGGCUGUGCCAGGAGCGGGGUGAGGAAGGGGUUGCACACUCUAGUCUCGCACAAGUCCCCUGAUUCACCCCACGCUUGACAGGACAAUCCUGCACUGGAUGAUCUUGAACAAUCCGACCUCCGUGAAAAGCUGGGGGCUCCAUCCAGGAGUGUCCUUGCAAGGACACAGCUUCUCCAUGCACCCUCUCUCCUGUGCAAGGGGCUGGCAAGGCCUUGGUCUCACACUGGAGCUUUCCCCCGUUUCUCUUGUGGCUCGUUGGACCAUCUCCUGCUUGUCCUGCCCUGGGCCAGUCAGGGCUCAUUGUGGGAUGGCCAAGGAGACCCUGGGAGUGGUGCUCUUGCCUCACGUGCCCUCACUUCCCCUCUGUCACAGAAGAAGCAACGUUUGAACUCAAAUUUAAGGAUUUUCGCACAUGAUCCCACCAGCCCUGAACUGGGUUCUCAGAGGCCAGGGCCUCCAGGACCUUCCCCAUAAAACACGGACUGUUUUCCCUCUGCUUUGUCCAACCAUGGUGACUCAUGGACCAGUCCCAGGUCAUUUGCCACCAGCCCUCCUCGUUAAAACCGUUCUGGGUGGAGCAUGGGAAUUCGUACUCAUCCUGAAAGGCAGGAGUAUCUUUAGUGAUUUGACGGGGAUAUUUUUGCCUUUUGGGGGAUAAAAAACCCAUCCUGCUGCCUUGUCUUGGUGGAGGGAGUAAUGGUGUGUGUGGGUGUGACCCUGCCUCAUGUUGGUGGCCCAGUCUGGGACCAGCAGCCACACUGAGACAAGGAGCCCUCCUGCUGCAGCUGCUGGAGACACGGUAUCAGUACGAGCAGCUCUGGGCUGCAAAAAUAGCUGGUGCAUUGUGGCCGCCGAGGUAACGCACAGAUGUGGAGGCUGGAAAGGGUGUUACCCUCCAACCCUUGGUCGGCGUUUCCCUCCUCAUUCCUCAGCCGCUUUAACCUUUGCUUGGGCAAAGGGUGGCGGGGGUGGCGAGUGUGUGUUUGUGUGUUUGUAGCCAGUUGUACCAUGUGCAUCGGUGUCUGCAUCAAGAUCUGCCAGUGCCUGACCCAAAACCUCUCGCUGUUCCCUGCUCAAGUGGGUGAAGGGACCUGCUCUUCAGAAGCUUGGGGUCAGACCUGCCUUGCCUUUUGCCACUGGUUCAUUCCUGUGUGUAGGCUGCAAGUGCUGCUUAAUUCCCCAGGGCUGGGUGGCCAACCCUGCAUGAUGCUGUGCAUCCACCUUGCUGCACAUGGAGGGGCCUCAAGGCUUUCCCAGCAUGCGGGUGGAGGCAGCUGGUACUGUGGCACAGCAGCAAGUGUCCAGAGAGGGGGGUCUUUGAAGCGAGAGGUGACUGUGAUCCCAUAGCUCUGUGUGUGUGUGUUUUAGUAUCUGCAUCAGUUGGUAUUUCUCAUGCGGGAAAGUGUUUCUUGGGUGUUGAUCUGGUUUAGCUACCUCACGGUGCAAGCUAGGUACUGUCAUUUGGUUUUGUUUUGGGGAUGGGGUGGGGAGUUUGUGUUUCUUCUUCUCUUAAUUAUCGUUAUGGUUUUGACACUUGAAUUCGUCCUGGGGACACGUGGCCCCACCCUCACCUUGCUGCAUGUCUGAGCCGCCCCUCGUGUCCCCUCCCUGCCUCCCCCUGGGCAGUGCAGCAGGACCAGCAUCCUGCUCUCCCCUUUGCAGUGGGAUCCCCCAGCUGAGUCACAACACUGAGAUUUUGCUCCAGUUGCUGGUAGAAUACUUGAACUGAGGCUCGGCUUUCUUGCCGUUUGUUAUUGGGUUGAUUUGCAGCCUGGAAGUCAUCCCUCUUGUCUCUUUGAAGGAUGGAAAGAGACCUCUGAAAGGCUCAACUCAGCGUGUAUUUCUGCCUCUGCUCUCACAGAUAUUCUCUGUGGAUGCAAUAAAGCCCUUCUUGUCGGGGAAAUGCCCAUGCAAAGCACAUCACUGGAAUGGGCUGGUCCUGGUCCCCAUUGUCAGCCUGGAGCAGCAGGAAACUGGUGCUGGAAAACCCUCUGUCCAGGGUGGGGUGGGUCUGGGAGAGAAGCUGAUUCUCAUGCGUGAUGUUUGAUUUUUGACCCCCAAAACAUAGUUGAAUCUAGAUCCUGUCCUAGGCACUGAACAUAAACCAGGGUAACUGUGGAGCCCCCAGGGAGCCCCCUGCUCAGGGAUGGGGAGCUGACAUGGGGCCGUAUCCGCUUCCCUGUCACAAAGGGGUUUGGGAAGGGGCUCGCAGCUGAGCCACACUGUCUGCUGGCGGGGGACAACACAGGUUCCCGAACCACUAAAGCACAAGAUCGCAACAUGCAGGUGGUCUAGCAAGGGUGACCACUUGGACUCUGGUCCUUCACAGCUCCAACUGGGUCCCUGGGUUUGGACAGCCAAGGUUGAGGCUCAGCAUGGCGGUGAGGGCUGUUUGCCUGCCGGAGGAGGCAGGGGAGCUGUUUCAUCCUUUUGCAUUGUCCUGGGGCCAUCCCCUGGGGCUCAGGACUUGCACUGCUGUGUAGCUUAAGACCCUUCUUGUGGUCUCUGAACCCCUCUGCCAGCCCUUCCAUUGCAGGGACAGUUUGGAGCUGCCUUUGCACUGUGCACCUCCUUUUGCUCCAUCCUUGGGUGCCUUGGUUUGUGCCAAGGGUGUGAUGAUACCUGAAGUCCAGGGAGGUCCUUCCCUUUUUCAGAUUGCUGGGUGAUGCUUUUGACCUCGGGCCCUGACUCUUGCUCCGUGGGUCUCCUCUCUCCAGCACACAGGGGCCAGCUCCAGCUUCUGCCAAACGCUGUCCCAGAGCUGAGCUUUGCACAUAAGGGGGGGAGAUGACUAAGGAGCACAAAAGCCCUGGGGCCCCAACCCACUGUGAGCCCACCCAGCUUGCCCAGGCACUGCCCAUUCCCUGGCACCCCAGCUCUCAUGGCACAAACGGACAGGCUGGCCAUGCAUCUCAGCCUGGCCAGCUGUGAGGAGCACCAGGGUCUGUCCCCCGUGGACAUCGUUCCUCCCCAGCACCUCUGAGCACAGAUGCUUUGGGGAACGCUGCCUCCUGCCUUGGUGCUGCAGAACCAGUGCCUGUUCCCAGUGCCCCAUCCCAGUCCUUCCCGUGCUGGACAGGGUCCAGGUACAGUCCCUGCAGAGCACAGGGCUCCCGCUUGCUUUCAGCAGGUUCACUGGAGCUUUGCUCUGUCCUGCAGGCUGCACACCCUCCCUGAGCCCUCCUGGGAGGGAACCGUCCCCCUGACCCCCCCGUGUGCUGCAGAGUGCUCCAGCUGUAACUGGGAGGGAGCCCAGCACAGUUCUGACCCCCAACCCUUGUCUCGGCCUCCUGGGCCUCACCCCCAGAAAAGCACAGCCCUGCGCCUUCCCCCUGCCCCUGGGGGCUUGUCCUCUCAUCCAUAACAGCUCUGCCUGCAGCACCUGCCAGCUGUUCCACGUCCCCUGUGUCCCGGGACCACCCAGUAUCCUCCAGUCCAGACCUCUGCUGGGGCUCGGGCAGCUGCAGCGUUGCAUUGUCUGCUCGGUCAUCCCUUCCCACCACACCAGUAUUGCAAAUAGCAGGUGCCUUUUCUUGCUCAGAGCUGUUUUGUAGAGGCCAACUCUCGUGAAGGCUUUUUUUCUCUGCUGGGUCUUGCAGCCCAGCCCAGUGGACUGGGUUUGUUAGAGGACAAGGCGUGUACGUAUAUUUUAUACCUCGAUGUGUUCUUGUAAAUAGUGUAAGUUAUUUCAGUCUCAUGAUGUACAUGUUUUUUCAAUGGCUGUGUUUGUUCCUUGCCUUUUUGUCUUCACAAAUAAAACAUACUGAAAUGA
Columba livia (rock pigeon) is the source of this 10111-nucleotide RNA transcript. It is a transcript of the gene named kinesin family member 21B, with no coding region annotated. Lineage: Eukaryota; Metazoa; Chordata; Aves; Columbiformes; Columbidae. The transcript has 36 exons. The record is from RefSeq and is a predicted model, not a curated record.